This 311-nucleotide unclassified non-coding RNA is filed under the name fungal sp. Its description in RNAcentral is "partial internal transcribed spacer region". The stretch from base 1 to 46 matches the Rfam family "Eukaryotic small subunit ribosomal RNA", at positions 1786 to 1831 of the family's 1831-position model. Lineage: Eukaryota; Fungi. The record is from RNAcentral.
AAGUCGUAACAAGGUUUCCGUAGGUGAACCUGCGGAAGGAUCAUUAACAAGUUUAUCUGUUUUUUUGAUGAUUUUUCAUCAAUAAAACAAAAACCCCAUUUUGAUGAACCUUAGAUGUUAUUAUAAGUGAUAUAAUAUAAGAGAUAAUACUCUUUAAUUGUAUUUACUUAAAUACAUCUAAAUCCUUUAUUUUUAUACCCUAAAAAUUAUUUUUAAAACCCCUUUUUUACAACAUGUCUUUGACUGAAAUGAAACUUUUUAUCUUAUAAAAAAUGAUAAAACAACUCUUAGCAACGGAUAUCUUGGCUCUC